GCAUACUUCAAACUUUUAGCGGCUUUUCUCAUCUUUGCCCUAGCCUUCACUCCUCACUCUCUUCAGCAUCGAUUGAAUCAAGACCCAAGAGGACGACUUCAAGCCUUCAACCAUUUAUUUCAAUCGCAGAAGAUGACUUCAGGAUUCAACCAUUGAUGCGGGUGGUGUUCUUCUACACUUCUCUUCUUCGAUUUCCAGUGGAAGAGGACAGCUUCAACCAAGAGGACAACUUCAAUCGCAGAGGAUGGUGUUUCACAUACGACGACUUCAGCCUUCAACAUCGAUUCGAUUGUUAAGGUUUAUUCUACAACAGUCGAGAAAUUAGGAACUGUUGGGCUUGAUGCUGAUAAAGCAAUGGACAUGGCUCACAUAAGUGAGCAGAUAGAACAAAUGCCUAAAUUGCUUGAAACACCAGAACAGGAGAAGACAGGAAAGAAUGCCAAGUUCAACUUACCUUUUUCACUAGUGAUGGUGUUCUCGAUGCAGAAGAGCUAUCAACUAUGAUUGAAGGAGGUGAGAAGAGUGUAAAAUAUCAGUUACCAAGGUCCAGGAAUCGAAGAGGAAGUAUACAGAUCAGUUGAAUCAAUCUCAACAUUAAAGAGCGAUAACUUGACACUUGAGUGUCUUGAGACUGAACUAUUUGAAGACAUUAGAGCUUCAAUCCAGAAAUCUAAUAGAGCAUCUAACCUGAUGAUUGAAGUAUCAAGGUGUCCUCAGGAAAGAAAGAUUCUCAAGCAAAAGUUAGCAACUGUGAGUUACCCUUUUAUAUUUCCAUUUCCAGUUUAGUAUAAAAAUUUUAAUCGACCAACCCGACAUACACGGUUUGGGUUGGGUUGCACUUUUGGUUUGGUUGGGUUGGGUUGGGUUGAGAUAUUUCAAACUGCAAAGAUUGGAUUAAGUUGUUGAAUUGCCUUCAACCCUGCCAACCCAACCCGUGAACACCCCUAUAUUCAACUGUAUAUCGUUGCGAGAUUUCCCCAAGUAGUGUUUAUAUAUGCAAACCACCAUUGAAUUACAUUACCACAUACAACAACAGAGAAAACCAAUGUGUCCCAUCAGAAAACCACCAAACACAAUACUUAGAGGAUAAUAUUUCUACCUGUAAA
This is a long non-coding RNA of Cynara cardunculus var. scolymus (artichoke), 1106 nucleotides long. RefSeq lists it as uncharacterized. Lineage: Eukaryota; Viridiplantae; Streptophyta; Magnoliopsida; Asterales; Asteraceae. The transcript has 3 exons. The record is from RefSeq and is a predicted model, not a curated record.